RNAcentral lists this ribosomal RNA (496 nucleotides) under uncultured bacterium. RNAcentral describes it as "partial 16S ribosomal RNA". It matches the Rfam family "Bacterial small subunit ribosomal RNA", at positions 28 to 507 of the family's 1533-position model. The record is from RNAcentral.
GAUGAACGCUGGCGGCGUGCCUAAUACAUGCAAGUCGAGCGAACAGACGAGGAGCUUGCUCCUCUGACGUUAGCGGCGGACGGGUGAGUAACACGUGGAUAACCUACCUAUAAGACUGGGAUAACUUCGGGAAACCGGAGCUAAUACCGGAUAACAUGUUGAACCGCAUGGUUCAACAGUGAAAGACGGUCUUGCUGUCACUUAUAGAUGGAUCCGCGCCGCAUUAGCUAGUUGGUAAGGUAACGGCUUACCAAGGCAACGACGCGUAGCCGACCGGAGAGGGUGAUCGGCCCACGGGGAGGAGAGACCCGCUCCGACCCCCUCGGGGGGGCAUGGCAAGGAAAUCUGCCGCAAGGGGCGAGAUCCUCAAGGAGCCUGGCCAGUGAAGCGAAAAGGGUCUUCGCUUAUUAAACACUUUUAUUUAGGAAAAAACAAAUGUGAAGUGAAUUUUCCCAUUCUUCCCGGCCCCUAGCAAAAAGCCCGCGAUGACCUGGUG